This 324-nucleotide ribosomal RNA is filed under the name uncultured eukaryote. RNAcentral describes it as "partial 18S ribosomal RNA". It matches the Rfam family "Eukaryotic small subunit ribosomal RNA", at positions 1470 to 1796 of the family's 1831-position model. The record is from RNAcentral.
CCCUUAGAUGUUCUGGGCCGCACGCGCGCUACACUGAUGCAUUCAACGAGUUUCUUCCUGGUCCGAGAGGAAUGGGUAACCUUUUGAAAGUGCAUCGUGAUAGGGAUAGACUAUUGCAAUUAUUGGUCUUCAACGAGGAAUUCCUAGUAGACGUAGUUCAUCAGACUGCAUCGAUUACGUCCCUGCCCUUUGUACACACCGCCCGUCGCUCCUACCGAAUGAAUGCUCAGGUGAGCCAUUCGGACUUUCAUCAUGCUGGUUUCCAGUUUUGAUGAAGGAAAGUCUUGCGAACCUUAUCAUUUAGAGGAAGGAGAAGUCGUAACA